AUGUUUCGUCGGGCAUUGGGCGCCGUGGGGAGGAUCCUACUGCGCAGCCAGGCCACGGCGGCUCGGUCGCUGUCGAGGCCGGCCGGAGCUAGCAGUCUGAGACACCUACACUCUCAGCAGAGCAAUGUUGGGGAUGCUGCAGCUACUGCUGGCCACCGCUUUGGCUUUCUUCGCAGGUCUAUGAAACUAGCUGCAUGGUCCGGAUAUGUUGGUUUUGGAGUUUGGACCUGCAGCUGUUGGGCGAUGGUUGCUGCAGCCUCGGUCGAAGCUGUACAUUACAUGAAGACCUUGCAGUCGAUCUCGUUGUCGGUUCAAGAGCUCAUCGACUGUGACACAAAGAGUGAUGGGUGUCAAGGCGGCCACGAAGAAAAUGCUUUCAGAUAUAUAAGCAAAAAUGGACUCUCGAGCGAAUCCGACUACCCAUACAUGGCUCGGAGGAGUAAAUCAGGUUGCAAGAGAAACAAGACAGCAGCAGCAAUAAGGAUAUCAGGCUUUCGAUUUGUCAACCCAACUGAGGAUGCUCUAGAGAAAGCGGUAGCGAAGCGUCCCGUGGUUGUCACUUUGCAGUUUUUCGAUGAUCUGCAUGAGUACAAAGGAGGCAUCUUGGAUUGUAAAGCUGUCAAUGGAAAGACCGAUUGCUUGCAUCCUGUCCUGAUUGUUGGUUAUGGCACUGAUUCCAACGGCAUCAAGUACUGGCGCUUCAAGAACUCAUGGGGACCAAACUGGGGUGAGAAGGGCUUUGGUAGGAUCCGCAGGCAUGUUGAUGACAAGCGAGGUGUGUUAGGUAUCUUCAUAGAACCAGGAGUAUAUCCGGUGCUCGAGGACUGA
Molecule: ribosomal RNA, 828 nt
Filed under: Triticum aestivum (bread wheat)
Lineage: Eukaryota; Viridiplantae; Streptophyta; Magnoliopsida; Poales; Poaceae
Description: partial small subunit ribosomal RNA
Source: RNAcentral